This 666-nucleotide ribosomal RNA is filed under the name Vibrio sp. SOVoc5. Its description in RNAcentral is "bacterial SSU rRNA". It matches the Rfam family "Bacterial small subunit ribosomal RNA", at positions 47 to 692 of the family's 1533-position model. Lineage: Bacteria; Pseudomonadati; Pseudomonadota; Gammaproteobacteria; Vibrionales; Vibrionaceae. The record is from RNAcentral.
CCUAACACAUGCAAGUCGAGCGGAAACGACACUAACAAUCCUUCGGGUGCGUUAAUGGGCGUCGAGCGGCGGACGGGUGAGUAAUGCCUAGGAAAUUGCCUUGAUGUGGGGGAUAACCAUUGGAAACGAUGGCUAAUACCGCAUAAUGCCUACGGGCCAAAGAGGGGGANCUUCGGACCUCUCGCGUCAAGAUAUGCCUAGGUGGGAUUAGCUAGUUGGUGAGGUAAUGGCUCACCAAGGCGACGAUCCCUAGCUGGUCUGAGAGGAUGAUCAGCCACACUGGAACUGAGACACGGUCCAGACUCCUACGGGAGGCAGCAGUGGGGAAUAUUGCACAAUGGGCGAAAGCCUGAUGCAGCCAUGCCGCGUGUAUGAAGAAGGCCUUCGGGUUGUAAAGUACUUUCAGUUGUGAGGAAGGGGGUAACGUUAAUAGCGUUAUCUCUUGACGUUAGCAACAGAAGAAGCACCGGCUAACUCCGUGCCAGCAGCCGCGGUAAUACGGAGGGUGCGAGCGUUAAUCGGAAUUACUGGGCGUAAAGCGCAUGCAGGUGGUUCAUUAAGUCAGAUGUGAAAGCCCGGGGCUCAACCUCGGAACUGCAUUUGAAACUGGUGAACUAGAGUGCUGUAGAGGGGGGUAGAAUUUCAGGUGUAGCGGUGAAAUGCGUA